This 1882-nucleotide unclassified non-coding RNA is filed under the name Megachile rotundata (alfalfa leafcutting bee). Its description in RNAcentral is "multivesicular body subunit 12A, transcript variant X4". The record is from RNAcentral. Lineage: Eukaryota; Metazoa; Arthropoda; Insecta; Hymenoptera; Megachilidae.
GAAUUUCUAUAUUUUCAAGUGUACUGAUAGGUGGUCCAUGUUCCUUCUUGUUGUUUGUUUAAUUCGACCACCCUAUAUAUGCAUCACUAAGCGGAAAGCGUUUGAGGGCGAUUCGUCACCGAAUGGUAGCGACCCUACUGAAGUUAUCCGAGUGUAACAGAGUAUAGAUAAAUAUCAAUGUAAUAAACAAGACGCUAUACUGUCCACGUAUAGCCUCAGUAUCAGUGUUACGGUUACGGCCACGGCUGUGACAAGUGCUGUGCCCUUGUAACUCCGAAUCGUAUUAAAAAUUUGUUAAACAUAUUUCGCGGUAAGAAUGUUGACAAAGGGGUGGCGUAUGAUUCUCAUUCAUUUUCUUAUCGCUUGGGAAAUCAAUUAACUCGCUUUGAAUUUGACUAAAACGUGUACGAUCAAGCGAAUAUCCGGGAAAGGCGAAUCGCGCACAGCAAGGACGAAGAAUAACGCCGUAUAGUACGCGGCGUGAAAGGAACGGAAAUAGAGGGUUGUAACAAUGUCUAAGAAGACUGCCUGUAACAAAAUGUUGGUUCAUCAGUUGUCAGCUGUAUUACCUGAUGAUAGACCCAUUACAUCUAUAAGAGUUGUUGAAGAUAUAGAUAAAUGUCCACCAAAUUUUACAGUGGUUUCAAGAACAUAUGAUCAGGACACUGAUGCCGACUUAUGGAGAGAAAGUGGACUUUUCAUAAAAAAGAAGGGCAGAUAUAUUUGUUUUUCCAAGACUGAAGGGUUACCUCAGUGUGUGGUUGAAGACAUAGUAGUUAUUAAUGAAAGAGAUUCUCCUCCAGAAGGAUACAGCAUGAUUUCUAAUACUGUUGAUUCAAUGCAGAAGGCAUGGAGGAAGAAGCAGUUGUGCUAUAAAAUUAGAAAUAAGGAUCUAUGCUCGAAAGCAGUUACAGAUAUUAUUAUAUGUAGUAGAAUUAUGAAUAAGGUCUAUACCUCCAACAUGGCUCCAAAUGGAUUUAUUGCUGCUGGUGUCAUAAAUGGAGUUUGGGUUUGCUACAAAACUGUAGAUAUUGUAAAUGGGAAUACAAAUUCACAAUCGUAUGUUAAUAUAGAUUUACUUCAAAGUGCUUCCCCAAAUCCAUCAAACGGAACACCUCAUAGGGUACCCCCUGAAAGGCCACCAAAACCAAAGUUUUCACCAAAACCAACAAAUGGAAUUUAUCCACAAAUUUCUGGGAGUGGGGGAAAAGAUUUAGAAGAAUCUAGCGAUAGAGAUUAUGAAAUUUUAAGUCCCGAUGCAAAAAUUAAACCUACGAGACCUGCUCCACAACCACCGACAACGGUAGUUGCAGGUGCUUCAUCAAUUUAUGGUACACUGCCAGGAUCUUCAGAUUUAGAUGGAGUUCCAUUUGUUCUUAACCCUCGUCUUAAUGUUCAAUCUGAUUCUUCAAAUACUAAACUUCCUGUAAUUAAAGUUUGGACUCAAAAAGACUUGGAUAAGGAGUUCUUUUAUGACUUUCGUGCGGAAAGGGAAACUUGAAGAAACCACUGUGCCAAAUUGUGUGAUUCUUCAUGCAAUUUUUCAGCUAUAUCUAUACAUUUGUAUUGAUAAUAUAGCGCUAGCCAAGUGUAAUAGAGUGCCUGAACGAGUGAUUCAUACUAACCUGCGAAAAUGGAAUCCUUUUAACAUUUACUGAUUUUGAUACCAGUGACAGUUAGCAUUGUAUUUUUAUAGAGUUGCGUUGUAUUUUUAUAGAUAGUAGAAGUUAUAUAUAUUAUAUAUAAUUGUAUCAUAUGUUCUAGUUGUUUAUAAAUCGUCACAAGAUAUUUAACAUUGUACUGGUGUACUCCUAUUUCUUAAUCAAACGCAAAAAUCUUUCAAUAAAGUCAUUUUUAAUUUUAUUUCCAACAAUAGAAGAAA